RNAcentral lists this ribosomal RNA (446 nucleotides) under Sinosuthora webbiana. Its description in RNAcentral is "Paradoxornis webbianus partial 12S ribosomal RNA". It matches the Rfam family "Bacterial small subunit ribosomal RNA", at positions 796 to 1435 of the family's 1533-position model. The record is from RNAcentral. Lineage: Eukaryota; Metazoa; Chordata; Aves; Passeriformes; Sylviidae.
CUGGACCUAAUCUUGGCGUUCGAUCUUACUGGAGCGCCCGCCCGAGAACUACGAGCAUAAAAGCUUAAAACUCUAAGGACUUGGCGGUGCUCCAAACCCGCCUAGAGGAGCCUGUUCUGUAAUCGAUGAUCCACGAUAUACCUCACCAUUUCUUGCUCAAUAACAGCCUAUAUACCGCCGUCGCCAGCCCACCCUCCCUGAUGGUUCAACAGUGGACGCAAUAGCCUUACCCCGCUAAUACGACAGGUCAAGGUAUAGCCUAUGGAAUGGGAGCAAUGGGCUACAUUUUCUAGAUUAGAACAUAACGGCAAAGGUGCAUGAAACUGCCCCUAGAAGGUGGAUUUAGCAGUAAAGUGGGAUCAGCGAGCCCUCUUUAAGCCGGCUCUGGAGCACGUACAUACCGCCCGUCACCCUCCUCAAAAGCGACCCCCCCCCCCCCUUUUUUU